AACCUAUGUGUGCAAAUGCAGAUUAGACACAGAUGUUCCAGCAGGGCUGGCCCCACGCGGACAAACUCUGUCUAAAGAAGAGCAGAAGAGUUGGCAGAGGAAAUCAGAACUUGUUUCCUAAGAACUUCCCAGGUAGAAGAUUUAAUCGCUGCUCCAGUGACAUGUGUGUUAAUGAGGGAGGAAAGAAAAAGGACCCCCUAACAGAUGGAGAGAGAGGCUCUGAUUACUGAAAGCAGUUUUACAGUCUCCUGUACACGGCCUGUGAGGACCCUCACUCCAGGAUCAGCUCUCAUUUUCGUGGAUUGGGACCUGCCCUUUGGUGAUAUUGGGAAUGUUGGAGGAGCAAUGCCUGGAUCUCCCUCUAUGCUGCCCAUGAGGCUAUCUGCAUCUUUCACCUUUCCAGGUAUGCGACUUGAAGUGAGCUUUAAGGUAGGCAGGGGCCCCUGGCAACUUAAUUUUUAAAAAUACUAUUUUAUGUUUUAGCUAGUCCUCAGGGACAGGACACUGAGUCAAGUGUACCCCUCCGUGUAUGUUAAACCAUCCUCGUCCCUCUGUAUAGGAGCCUCUCCUGCGAUGUUUGCUAUGAUUUCCCAUUUCCUCCUUCCCUUAGGCAACAGUUCUGAUGUGUAUAAUAUGUACCCUUUUCUAUGCAUUCCUAGAAAAUGUGUGUAGUUAAUUUGUGUGCAAGUACCUAAAGCUUAAUGAUAUAAUUGUAAUAUGUUAAUAUAAAAGUGAUAUUGUUAUAGAUGUCAUUCUGAUUCUUUUUUCACUCAGCUUAAUGUUUUUAAUCUUGUCAUGUUGCUAAUGUAUGAUAAUAUAACCAGCUACACACACAGGAUAAAAAAUUAAUGCCAUAAAUGAAUUAAAAAGGAGAAAUGAAAGGAAAUUAGUUUAUAAUAAAAUAUGUAAUUUGGUAUGUAAAUGCACAGGCACAAAUCUACUAGACGACAUAAUGAAAUCUAUGAUUUUAAGGAAAAACUCCGGAUUUAAGAGAAGUAAGGAAAGAUUCACUUUCUAUUGUUGAAACUUUCCUUGACACUUUUCCUUCCCAAAGUUUUUGGUAUUUUGAAAUAAGAGCUAAACAGCUAUCUGUGUGAUUAUAAACAUUUGCCCACAUGAAUGUUUGGCAGGACGCGUGGGGCAUGAUGUGUGUCUUUGUGUUUCCUGUGCGUUGUGGGACCUCUAGUAUUCCUGCCCUGCCCACCAAUUCCUGCUUGAACCCCUUCCCCCAGUCACUAUGACAGAUAAAAAUGCUCCCACAGGUGGCCAAAACGCUUCCUGGAGCUGGAUCAUAGAUCUAAAUCUAAAACCUAAAACCGUAACACUUCUAGAAGAAAACGUAGGAAUAAAAUCUUUGUGACCUUUGCUUAGGUAAAGAUUUCUUAGAUACCAAUACUAAAAGUGUGAUCCAUAAAACAAAAAAAGGGAUAAAUUGGACUUCAUCAAAACCAAAAAUUUUUGCUCUUCAAAAGACACUGUUAAGAGAAUGAAGAGACAAACCACAGACUAGGAGAAAAUAUUUGCAAAGCAUAUUUCUGAGAAAGGACUCAUAUCUAGAAUAUGUAAAGAACUCUUAAAACUGAAUAAUAAGAAAACAAACAACCCAAUUUAAAGAAUGAAAUGAUGUGAAAAGAUGCUCCAUCAAAGAAGAUAAUAUGGGGGCCGGCCUGGUGGUGCAGCAGUUAAGUUCGCAUGUUCCACUUCUCGGUAGCCUGGGGUUCGCUGGUUCGGAUCCCGGGUGCGGACAUGGUACCACUUGGGAAAAGCCAUGCUGUGGUAGGCGUCUCAUGUAUAAAAUAGAGGAAGAUGGGCAUGGAUGUUAGCUCAGGGCCAGUCUUCCUCAGCAAAAAGAGGAAGAUUGGCAGUAGUUAGCUCAGGGCUAAUCUUCCUCAAAAAAAAAAAAAAAAGAUAAUAUGGAUAGCAAAUAAGCACAUGAAAAGAUGUUCAACAUCAUUGGUCAUUAUGGAAAUCCAUAUUAAAACCACAAUGAGAUGCCACUAGUACCUGCUGGAAUGGCUAAAAUCGGACAGACCAUCCUUACUAAGUGUUGGCAAAGAUGUGGGUACUGGAACUCUGACACACUGCUAGUGAGAAUGUAAAAUGGUACAGCCACUUUGGAAACAGUUUGGCAGUUUCUUAAAAAGUUAAACAUACACAUCCUAUGUGAGCUAGCCAUUCCACUCCUAGGUAUUUACCCAAGAGAAAAGAAAGCAAGCAGGCUGACUCAUACAUGAAUAUUCAUAGCAGCUUUAUUUGUAACAGUCAAAACCCAGAAACAACACAAAUAUCCAUUUACAGAUCAGUGGAUGAACAAAUGGUGGUAUACCCCAAAUGCCCCUGGAAUGGUAUUUCCCCUCUGAGGACCAGAAGUCUAAAUUUCGGAACUUCAUAUUCAAGGCCCUUCAACAUCAAUUCCAGUUUCUCUUUCCGUCCUUCCCUCCUGACAUUUCCCUUGUGGAUGCUCUAUGUUGAGUGCUCUAAGUUCCCUGAACACUGGGGGCUUCACAAGAUGAAGCUUUGCAACUGCAGUUACCAUGCCUCAGCUGUCCUGUCCCUCUUAGGCUCUCUUAUCCUGUCGACCUCCCGCUUACAUAUUUCCUCUCAGGCACCUCCAUCUCCUCCAGAGUUAGAUACUCCUUCACUUUAAUCUAGCAGAGCUCUUCAGCAUGAUACAGGAUUCACUUAUGAUAUGUCUGCCCACUGACUUGUCAGUUCCUCAAGGACAGGAAACGAGGCUUGGUCUUCUGUUUUGUUUUACAUCCUUUGUGCUUAGCGUAGAGCUUGGUAGACCACAAGUACUUGAAUGAAUAAAUGAAUGAAUGAAUGAAUUGGUGUUCAGUUAUAUGUCUUACUAUUAAUAAGCUAGUAAUUUCAGCAGCUGGGAUGGUUUUAUAUGUGAGUUGGAUCUUCUGCUCAACUGAAGACAUGCUCCAUUUCAGCAACAAUUAUCAACACUUUUAACCCUAAUCACCUGAUGGGUCACUGGCACACCACUGUCAUCUAGAGAUUCUGAUAAGAUACGUAACCAUUGUGGUACCAGAAAUAGUAAUUACCCAAAAGUUCUUCAACAAAGCACUGAUUAAAGAAAUCUCACUUCAUGCACAUGAUGUAUUCUUUGUGUUGGUUAAAAAGACUGAAUUCCGUACAAACUGAUGUGGAAAAAUGUAAAUAAAUACAAUACUGAUCAAAAAGAGAAGUUUCAAAACAACAGAAUCGGAUCUUGAUUUAAAACUGUAUAUGCAUAUAGAUCUGUAUACACAUUGUUUCAGUAUGUUCUUAGAAAAGUCUGGAAAGAUAUUCACUCAGGGAGAUGGAAAAUGAUGGGGAAACAUUCUUUUCUUUCUCUCUCUCUCUCUCUUUUUUAACUUUAUAUGCUUCAAUAAUCAAAUUUACCAGCACAUUUUUCUUUAGUAAUUAAAAAACCCACACAGAUUAAAAAUAUAUACCUGACCAGUGAGACUUAUUGUUAUGACUUGUUGUUAAGACUUAUUGUUAUGAAUUUGUUUCAGAUGCCUCCAAAAAUUAAUUCUUAGGUUAAUUUUAACAUUUUAGAUGUAUGUAGCAUCUUCCUAAAAUGCAAGCCACUUUUACUUUGUGAUCUUACUGUCACCUUCAGAUAUCUUUUCGGGCAGGUGGAGUGGGCAGGGAACUCAAGUCCGGGAAGGGUGGAUGUUGUGUCCGAGCAGGGUCUGAGCAUAGCCUGCGGGUCUCUUCUCCUGCUCCUAGACUGGCGUACUUGUCAGGAAAGUUCAGCUGUCCCCUGACUGAAAUAGGACGCUCUCGUUCCUUCAGAUAAGGAAAAUGAGACAUGAAGAGGUUAAGUUGUCCAAGGUCACAUGCAGGAGUUGACAUUUGUGAGGAGUCCAGGACAGUCAUUUUGCAGAUUAUGCGGCUUAUUUGUUCAACAGUUCACAGUAAACACCUCCUGUGUGCCGGGCACUGUGCUGUGAGAGGAGAACAUCGUCGUCAAGGCAAGCGUGGUCUUCUCCCUUCUGGAGCUCACAGUCUAGUGGGAGAGCCUGAUGAUAAAUAAGCAAGUUACAGAAAAGUGAAAGAUGCUGUGAGGGACAAAAGAGAGUUUCCGGUUGGACAUGUAUUUGCUCUAUAAAGUAAAUAAAAUAGGCCUGAGAUCAGACAGAGUGGGAAGAGUGUUGCUUUUGACGGAGUUGACUGAGGCAGGCCUCUCUUUGAGGCGGUGACGUUUGAGACCCACAGGAUGAGAAAGUGCCAGUGAGGAGGCAGCUGUAGAGGGUUCUAGGUACUUUCGCCACAUUAGCUAAUUGGCUGUGUAGGGGAGGAGGACAUUUCCUCUCCCCAAAUGGGGGUUCGUCUAGCUGGAGAACGAAUUAAAUUCACAUGAGACAGAAUAGCAAGAGAAAAUUAAACAAAGCUUUAUGAGGAACCAUGGCCCGGGGCCUUUCUUCCCGAAGGAAGAAAGGGCACCGAAGAAGUGGGGUGCACAGAGUGGUUAUAUAGCCCCAAACAGGGUGUUUCACAUGUGAUUGAAAUGUCCCUCCCACAAUAGUCACAAGAUUGCCCUGUUGGCACAGUGCUUGAUGGACACAGCAGGUAAUGGUCUGCUAUCUCGGUGGGCAUAGCAGGAGGCAAGUCUAUGUCUGGAGCUGGGCGGUCGCAGGUGAGUGCAGCAGCAAUCGGUUCCUAGCCUAAGGAAAGAUGCUUAAUCCUUAAGGAAUGCCAAAGUUGGGAGGGGGAGGGAAGUCAGUUACAGGAGGUUACCAGACUAGCACAAUAAAAUGCAGAUUUUAAGUCAUUGCCUUUGGUAUUGAUUAAGAGUUUUUAGAGAGAAGGUCAUCUCCUUUCUCCUUCCUGGUACAGAGAGGGAGGCACGUUUUAGAGAUAGAGAUUUACCUUACGAAUGUAAACGUGUCCUAACAAAGGGCAAGUUCCAUUCCUCAGAGCCUCCUUCCCCGUCCCAGUUUAUCAAAAGCAAUCAGCCUCAAAUAAUCCUGAUGCCAAAGAGACAUAUCUUGGGGUGGCCAAUUCCAGGUCCCCACAGCUGGAAGGCAAUUUUACUUUAAAAAUAAAAUAAAAAUAAAGGAGGGACAUUAAAAAGGAC
This 5077-nucleotide long non-coding RNA is filed under the name Equus caballus (horse). RNAcentral's name for it is "lncRNA (ENSECAG00000044649.1)". Lineage: Eukaryota; Metazoa; Chordata; Mammalia; Perissodactyla; Equidae. The record is from RNAcentral.